Molecule: non-coding RNA, 119 nt
Organism: Picea glauca (white spruce)
Lineage: Eukaryota; Viridiplantae; Streptophyta; Pinopsida; Pinales; Pinaceae
Source: Rfam
GGGUGUGAUCAUACCAGCGUUAAUGCACCGGAUCACAUCAGAAUUCUGCAGUUAAGCGUGCUUGGGCUAGAGUAGUACUGGGAUGGGCGACCUCCCGGGAAGUCCUAGUGUUUCCCCCU